Molecule: ribosomal RNA, 493 nt
Filed under: uncultured bacterium
Lineage: Bacteria
Description: bacterial SSU rRNA
Rfam family: Bacterial small subunit ribosomal RNA
Source: RNAcentral
GGCUCAGGAUGAACGCUAGCGGCAGGCUUAACACAUGCAAGUCGAGGGGCAGCGUGGAGUAGCAAUACUCUGACGGCGACCGGCGAAAGGGUGAGUAACGCGUGAGCAACAUGCCCGAUAGUGGAGGAUAGUCGAUGGAAACGUCGCGUAAUACUCCGUAACAUAAGGGACCGCAUUGAUCCUUUAUUAAUAGAUUUAUUGCUAUCGGAUUGGCUCGCGUACCAUUAGCUAGUUGGCGGGUAACGGCCCACCAAGGCGACGAUGGUUAGGGGUUCUGAGAGGAAGGUCCCCACAUUGGAACUGAGACACGGUCCAGACUCCUACGGGAGGCAGCAGUGAGGAAUAUUGGACAAUGGCCGGAAGGCUGAUCCAGCCAUGCCGCGUGCGGGAAGACGGCCCUAUGGGUUGUAAACCGCUUUUGUUGGGGAGCAAUAAGGUCCACGAGUGGAUUGAUGAGAGUACCCAGCGAAUAAGCAUCGGCUAACUCCGUGCC